UACGAAGGGGGCUAGCGUUGUUCGGAAUUACUGGGCGUAAAGCGCACGUAGGCGGAUUUGUAAGUCAGGGGUGAAAUCCCGGGGCUCAACCUUGGAACUGCCUUUGAUACUGCAAGUCUCGAGUCCGAUAGAGGUGAGUGGAAUUCCUAGUGUAGAGGUGAAAUUCGUAGAUAUUCGGAAGAACACCAGUGGCGAAGGCGACACACUGGCCCGUUACUGACGCUGAGGCGCGAAAGCGUGGGGAGCAAACAGG
Molecule: ribosomal RNA, 253 nt
Filed under: uncultured bacterium
Lineage: Bacteria
Description: partial 16S ribosomal RNA
Rfam family: Bacterial small subunit ribosomal RNA
Source: RNAcentral